AGUGUCCCUAGUAGUCUUGUCUGUAAAAAGUAAGCAAGUUCAGAGGAUUCAUUUAGUGUGAAUGUUGGUGAUAUAAUAGCUAGUAGCUGCAGUUAGCUCUUAGCUAACUAGCUACUCUAUAGGUUAAGGAUCCCCCACCCUGAGUGAAGCUUCGACUUGAAGUUGAAGAUUAUUUUCUUUCUGAAAGAGUAACAACCCUUUUCUUUAAAUUACAGAUGGAGCAAUUGGACAAGACAACACAGUCACUUCUGGAAGCUGCACAGGCCAUUGCCUUGUUGGAGGCGCUCCUAAAAAUGUUCCCUUACCCAACCGCCCCUCCAAGAAAAGUCGGCAAGUGAGGCACUGUACCAUGUUCUUGAGCCAUCUGAGGACGCCAAUGUCUUCUUGCGUAACUGAUGACCUUGCCAAGGGACAUGCUUCUGGAAUCCCUCAUGAUACUGAUGGGAUGCUACUAUGUGUUCCAGUUAACAUAUUCCAAGUGUAUUGCUAGGCUAUUGUCCAUAAUACAAACAGAGGUACUCAAAGAUCUUAUUCACGAGAGUGACAAGACGACAACAUAUAAAAAGGUGCUUGCUGACUGUCAAGCAUUCAUCCAAACCUAGUCUGUCUCUCCCUCUCUCUUUGUCAACCUCCUACUGUAUGUCACUCUUCUGUAUGUCACUCCCCCCGCCCCCCCCCCUAACUCUUUCUCUAUAUGUCUGGAGGUCAGGACAGCACACAGUAACACAACGUCCAAUGUAUUUCCAGCUACAUUUGUCAAUGAUUUGUUGACUGUUUGAUGUGUUGCUGAAUUGUCAUCGUUUAUGUAGAUGUCAAUGUACCUUGUGUCUGACAGUUUACUUAAAUCAUUAUGUGUAAUAUGUAAUUAAGUACAUUUAAGCAUUCUGAUGCUUAUUAUUGUUCACUACUCUCAAAUGGCUGUUAUUGGUUUUCUUCAUUAACAGGCUAAUAAAACAGUGAUAAAUAA
Long non-coding RNA from Clupea harengus (Atlantic herring), 967 nucleotides. RefSeq lists it as uncharacterized. The transcript is spliced from 3 exons. NCBI's taxonomy places the organism in Eukaryota, Metazoa, Chordata, Actinopteri, Clupeiformes, Clupeidae. The record is from RefSeq and is a predicted model, not a curated record.